This 76-nucleotide transfer RNA is filed under the name Deltaproteobacteria bacterium ADurb.Bin151. RNAcentral describes it as "tRNA-Thr". It matches the Rfam family "tRNA". Rfam says of the family: Transfer RNA (tRNA) molecules are approximately 80 nucleotides in length. Their secondary structure includes four short double-helical elements and three loops (D, anti-codon, and T loops). Lineage: Bacteria; Deltaproteobacteria. RNAcentral also lists the same sequence under 2 other names. The record is from RNAcentral.
GCCGAUGUAGCUCAGCCGGUAGAGCAACUGAUUCGUAAUCAGUAGGUCACCAGUUCAAAUCUGGUCAUCGGCUCCA